Molecule: unclassified non-coding RNA, 2550 nt
Filed under: Chelonus insularis
Lineage: Eukaryota; Metazoa; Arthropoda; Insecta; Hymenoptera; Braconidae
Description: alpha-N-acetylglucosaminidase, transcript variant X1
Source: RNAcentral
CACAGCUCAGUUAACGAAAGUAUUAGUGGGUAGUUUGCUUCAAAAAGAAUAACUAUGACCAAUUACUUUAAAAUUGUCUUCUCUUUGAUACUUUUAUUUAAUUUUUAUUGGAUCACUCUAGCUCAUAAAAAAAAUGCUGACUAUUUUCAAGAUACUUUGGGGCACUUGAAAUCAACAGCUUCUGCUGAAGAGCAAACUGAAGCAGCUCAAAAAUUAAUUCAGAGAAUUAUUGAAACUAAAUCAAAUCGGUUCCAAGUUUCAGUUGAUCCAACAAUAGGCCCCGAUGGAAAAGAUACUUUCAAGAUUAUCAAACUUUCUAAAGACAGAGUUAAGAUAACAGGAACAACUGGCGUUGCAGUAGCUUGGGGUUUUCAUUAUUAUUUGAAAACUUAUUGCAAUUCUCAUAUAUCAUGGGAAGGCAAACAGAUUAGCUCAUUGGACAUAUUGCCUGAUGUAAAUGAAACUGUUACCUCUAACGAUAGGUUUCGAUAUUAUCAAAAUGUUUGUACAGCUGGAUAUAGUUCUACUUGGUGGAACUGGGAUCAAUGGGAGAAAAACAUUGAUUGGAUGGCCUUGAAUGGAAUUAAUCUCGCUUUGGCUUUUCAUGCUCAAGAAGCAAUUUGGGAGAGGGUAUAUUUUGAAUUAAAUCUAACAAGAAAUGAAAUCGAUCAACACUUUGCAGGACCAGCAUUUCUACCAUGGGCAAGAAUGGGUAAUAUCAGAGGCUGGGGUGGUCCAUUACCUCCAUCGUGGCACAAUUUUACUAUCACUCUGCAGCAUAAAAUACUCAAUAGAAUGAGGAAACUUGGAAUAAUUCCAGUUUUGCCAGCUUUUGCUGGUCAUGUACCUCAAGCAUUUCGUAGACUGUAUCCCAACGCCAAUAUGACAAAAAUAAAUUCUUGGAAUGGAUUUGAUGACAAAUACUGUUGUCCGUAUCUAAUAUCACCACAAGAUCCGCUUUUCAAAAUUAUUGGAAAAAAAUUUCUUCAGACGUAUAUAAAAGAAUUCGGAACUAAUCAUGUGUAUAAUUGUGAUACAUUCAAUGAAAAUGAACCUUUGGAUGGUGAAUUAAAUUCGUUGAGAAGCGUUGGACAAGCCAUUUAUUCAGCUAUGACAGAUGUUGAUCCACAAGCUAUUUGGAUGCUCCAAGGAUGGCUAUUUGUAAAUGAAUUUUAUUUUUGGACGAGAGAUCGAGUCAAAGCUUUCAUUACUUCAGUUCCAAUCGGUAAAAUGAUUAUCCUCGAUCUCCAAUCAGAACAAUUUCCACAGUAUGACAAAUUUGAUUCAUAUUAUGGCCAGCCCUUUAUCUGGUGUAUGCUCCACAAUUUUGGAGGCACGUUGGGUAUGUUUGGUUCAGCUGCAAUUAUUAAUGAGCGAGUAUUCGAAGCGAGAAAUAUGAAUGGAAGUACAAUGAUAGGUACUGGUCUGACACCUGAAGGAAUUAAUCAAAAUUAUGUGAUAUAUGAUCUAAUGAAUGAAAUGGCAUAUAGAAAAAGACCAGUUAAUCUUGAUCAAUGGUUCAAAAAUUAUGCAUCUAGAAGAUAUGGAUGUAAGAAUGAGUAUGCAGUAGAAGCAUGGAAGUUUUUACAAAACUCUGUUUACAAUUUUAAUGGUACUCAGAGGAUUCGAGGACAUUAUGUGAUAACGAGAAGACCAAGUAUGCGCAUCAGCACCUACACAUGGUAUGAUCCAUCAUCAGUAUAUAACGCUUGGAAGUUUCUGCUUAAAGCUCGAAUUGGUCGAGGAUCUAAUUUACUAUAUCAACAUGAUCUAGUUGAUGUUACUAGACAAGCACUACAAUUAAUUGCUGAACAUGUAUAUCUCAAAAUACAAAAAAGUUUCCAUGAAAAAGAUUUAGCCGCAUUCAAAGCACAAGCCAGCUUGUUACUGCAAAUAUUUAGUGAUUUAGAAAGCAUUUUAAGCACCAAUAAAAAUUUCCUAGUUGGUAAAUGGAUUAAAGAUGCUCGAUCAUUGGGAACCAAUGUUGAGGAAAAAAAAUUAUACGAGUUCAAUGCUCGUAAUCAAAUAACUUUGUGGGGCCCAAACGGAGAAAUAAGAGAUUAUGCGAAUAAACAAUGGGCCGGAGUCAUGUCUGAAUAUUUUGGAGCCAGAUGGUCGUUAUAUUUAUCAGUUGUAACAUUUGCUUUAGAAUUUCAUAAGCCAGUCAAUCAAUCAAUAUUGUCAACGUUUCUAUUCGACACGGUAGAAAAACCAUUUACCAUGGCUCGUAAUGAGUUUCCAGCUGAACCUAAAGGUAAUUCAAUUGAAAUAUCAUGGAAACUUUGGAAAAAAUGGAAGUUGAGAGAACCAAUGAAAGAAAAGAGGCAAAAACAACCUAUGCUAAAUAAACAUUUAUGUUGAAUUAAAAAUCUUUGAAAUUGAUUAAUUAAUACUUACCAUUUUCUGAUAGGCUAAAAAGCACAUUUGUACAAGUUUUAAUAUGAGAAAUGGAAGGAUAUUCGCUGAAAUUUUAUAUGCCACGAUGAUUGUCAGAAAAUUUUAAGAUUUUUUAAAAUCAAUUAUUUAUUUAAAUAAAGUACUAAAGAUGAG